GGCGAGAUGGCGGAGCGGUCCAAGGCGCUGUUUUUAGGCACCAGUCCCUUCGGGGGGUGGGUUCGAAUCCCACUCUGGUCA
Molecule: non-coding RNA, 81 nt
Organism: Angiostrongylus cantonensis (rat lungworm)
Lineage: Eukaryota; Metazoa; Nematoda; Chromadorea; Rhabditida; Metastrongylidae
Source: Rfam